UGUACACUGCUGGGUCAUAUGGUGACUCUAUGUUUAACUUUUUGUGGAACUCCCAAACUGUGUUCUAAAGUGGCUGCACCUAUAUACAAUUCCAUCAGCAGU
This 102-nucleotide microRNA precursor is filed under the name Marmota monax (woodchuck). Lineage: Eukaryota; Metazoa; Chordata; Mammalia; Rodentia; Sciuridae. The record is from RNAcentral.